Ornithodoros turicata is the source of this 1272-nucleotide long non-coding RNA. RefSeq lists it as uncharacterized. The transcript is spliced from 5 exons. The record is from RefSeq and is a predicted model, not a curated record. NCBI's taxonomy places the organism in Eukaryota, Metazoa, Arthropoda, Arachnida, Ixodida, Argasidae.
UCGCUCGCGCGGACACACGUUGCUGUGCUCACAAGAGGAGGAAGAGUCACGCAAAACGAACUUAUGAACAUAUAGCCGUCCUCACUCGCUAUGACCCCAUGAAACUUUGCCACAUAUGAGGAGGAAGCCGUGGUCCUGCAAAAAGUGGUCUCCCAUGAAAAAAAUGGCAUGCAUGGAGAGUGCGCCUUUGUGCAGUUGCAACGCCAACCUACGGCGCUACUUAUUGGACAACUCCACAUGCUCCACCUUCGAAGACGUACGAAGACGCAUCCCCAUCCAAAAAAAGACACCAGCACAGAGAGAACUGGUGGCAAGUUUUUCCAGUCUUUGGCGGACCGCUCGUCGAUAAAGGUUGCGAAAUGCACCAGCGGCCGUUGACCUCGCGGCCUAUUGACAUUCGGGAAGAAUUCGAGACGCUCCAGUGGAUCACAUGGCAUCCAUCGUGGUCAUGCAUUGCAUGAUACGAUUCACUUAUAGGAAAAGUUGUUCGUGCAAUACGAAAGUAUAUUUGUGUCAGGCCGUCGUCAAAUAUGUCUGAAAGUGCACGUUUAUGGUCACGGUCUUCCUUGUACGUCGAAAUAACUGGUGGUCUUAAGGCACAAUCCAAUCAAACUGAGGAAAAGCAGAAUUUUGUGGAUGUUCUUGCAAUGAGUGGUUCCACAAAAUUCUGCGACAUGGAUGCGAGAUAAAGUCCUCAGCCACCCAAGCAGCACAAUGUACUGAAAGUCGAGUGCAAUAGGGGUGGACGGGUGGGUGGAAGGCCUUGAACAGACUCCUGAAGCUAAAGAACAUUGAUAAGACACAUACCGUCCACCCCUAUUGCACUCGACUUUCGGUACAUUGUGCUGCUUGGGCACCUACAUUCUCGAUGGAAGAAAAUUCUGUCAAACUCGCGUUUGUACGCAUUUCUUUCUUUCUUUAUCUUUUUUUUAUGUUUGCUCAAUAGCAUGACCAAUUGUUUGUCUGGCAGCAUUUAUAUCGUGCUAAAAAUACUCGUUUAUGUGACAACAGACACCGACUACGCAUCUUUUUCUUGGUACCUAAACAUUGGGAAAGUGCGACUUGUCGGGUUCCUUCCUAGGACUCGUUCCUCCCAUUAGCAGAGGAGGAACAAUUGACAGCCUUUCUUUGUGAGCUGCAGUGCAACGUAAGAUGCACUGGUUGACGUAAUAGUUAGACAUCCUCCAACGGCGCCCUGGAAACUAGAGCUCAAAUACGGACCUCGCAGGCGUAAAUGUUGUUCAGCAGUUGCAGCAGCAACAUUUUGCAAAU